UACGGGGGGGGCAAGCGUUGUUCGGAAUUACUGGGCGUAAAGCGUGCGCAGGCGGUUUUGUAAGCCAGAUGUGAAAUCCCCGGGCUUAACCUGAGAAUGGCAUUUGGGACUGCAAGGCUGGAGUGUGGCAGAGGAGACUGGAAUUCCUGGUGUAGCAGUGAAAUGCGUAGAUAUCAGGAGGAAUACCGAUGGCGAAGGCAGGUCUCUGGGCUGACACUGACGCUCAUUCACGAAAGCGUGGGGAGCAAACAGG
This 253-nucleotide ribosomal RNA is filed under the name uncultured bacterium. Its description in RNAcentral is "partial 16S ribosomal RNA". It matches the Rfam family "Bacterial small subunit ribosomal RNA", at positions 524 to 776 of the family's 1533-position model. The record is from RNAcentral.